GAUUUUGAGUGCUACCCAUAUUUAAUCUUAGUGUGAAUGUUUUGGUGAUAGAGUUUAUUAGAGAAAAAUAGCAUCAUCGGCAUUAGUUUCCUCUGCUUCUUCUUACAUUAUCUUUUCCCCCCUUCAUUAUUUAUUUUAAAGAACAAUGAAUACUUAGGAAGGAAACUCAUAACCAUCAUCAUUUAUCAAAACUUCUUCUUUUUGUAAAUACUCUGGGUUAGAAUUUGUAGUCCCUUACUUAAUUUCUCUAUCAUUUUUUUGCAGAUCACAGAAACUUCAGAACUAAUUCUCACACUCAGAGAAGACUUUUCUACCGUCGGAAGCUGAGCGCGGGGCCAGGGUCGUACCCUCCGCGGUGCGCGUCCAAGUGCAGCGACUGCACCCCGUGCAGUCCCGUGCAUGUGCCGGUGCCGCCGGGCACGCCGGUCAUCGCCGAGUACUACCCGGAGGCGUGGCGGUGCAAAUGCGGCAACAAGCUCUACAUGCCCUAACGCUGGUGCGCCCUGCGUGCAGGAGCUGCGACGCAUGCAAAGAAGGGGAUAUAAUUAUAUAGUGCAAGGGCCAUCAUAUAUGCAUGUAACCUCAUUCUUGGACUACAAUUCUUGCACCCGGUGAGAUGGAGAGCUCAAACAUGUAACAUGGACAGUCCCUACCAUGAGGAUAAUUGGAUGGGAUUAAUUUAUACAUGUUUAUAUGAGUGUAUAUAGUAUUUUGACUUAUGAGAAAA
Ananas comosus (pineapple) is the source of this 727-nucleotide long non-coding RNA. RefSeq lists it as uncharacterized. The transcript has 3 exons. The record is from RefSeq and is a predicted model, not a curated record. NCBI's taxonomy places the organism in Eukaryota, Viridiplantae, Streptophyta, Magnoliopsida, Poales, Bromeliaceae.